CAAAUUGAGAGUUUGAUCCUGGCUCAGGAUGAACGCUGGCGGCGUGCCUAAUACAUGCAAGUCGAACGCUUUGUGGUUCAACUGAUUUGAAGAGCUUGCUCAGAUAUGACGAUGGACAUUGCAAAGAGUGGCGAACGGGUGAGUAACACGUGGGAAACCUACCUCUUAGCAGGGGAUAACAUUUGGAAACAGAUGCUAAUACCGUAUAACAAUGACAACCGCAUGGUUGUUAUUUAAAAGAUGGUUCUGCUAUCACUAAGAGAUGGUCCCGCGGUGCAUUAGCUAGUUGGUAAGGUAAUGGCUUACCAAGGCGAUGAUGCAUAGCCGAGUUGAGAGACUGAUCGGCCACAAUGGGACUGAGACACGGCCCAUACUCCUACGGGAGGCAGCAGUAGGGAAUCUUCCACAAUGGGCGAAAGCCUGAUGGAGCAACGCCGCGUGUGUGAUGAAGGGUUUCGGCUCGUAAAACACUGUUGUAAGAGAAGAAUGACAUUGAGAGUAACUGUUCAAUGUGUGACGGUAUCUUACCAGAAAGGAACGGCUAAAUACGUGCCAGCAGCCGCGGUAAUACGUAUGUUCCAAGCGUUAUCCGGAUUUAUUGGGCGUAAAGCGAGCGCAGACGGUUAUUUAAGUCUGAAGUGAAAGCCCUCAGCUCAACUGAGGAAUUGCUUUGGAAACUGGAUGACUUGAGUGCAGUAGAGGAAAGUGGAACUCCAUGUGUAGCGGUGAAAUGCGUAGAUAUAUGGAAGAACACCAGUGGCGAAGGCGGCUUUCUGGACUGUAACUGACGUUGAGGCUCGAAAGUGUGGGUAGCAAACAGGAUUAGAUACCCUGGUAGUCCACACCGUAAACGAUGAGUGCUAGGUGUUUGAGGGUUUCCGCCCUUAAGUGCCGCAGCUAACGCAUUAAGCACUCCGCCUGGGGAGUACGACCGCAAGGUUGAAACUCAAAGGAAUUGACGGGGACCCGCACAAGCGGUGGAGCAUGUGGUUUAAUUCGAAGCAACGCGAAGAACCUUACCAGGUCUUGACAUCCCUUGACAACUCCAGAGAUGGAGCGUUCCCUUCGGGGACAAGGUGACAGGUGGUGCAUGGUUGUCGUCAGCUCGUGUCGUGAGAUGUUGGGUUAAGUCCCGCAACGAGCGCAACCCUUAUUACUAGUUGCCAGCAUUCAGUUGGGCACUCUAGUGAGACUGCCGGUGACAAACCGGAGGAAGGUGGGGAUGACGUCAAAUCAUCAUGCCCCUUAUGACCUGGGCUACACACGUGCUACAAUGGCGUAUACAACGAGUUGCCAACCCGCGAGGGUGAGCUAAUCUCUUAAAGUACGUCUCAGUUCGGAUUGUAGGCUGCAACUCGCCUACAUGAAGUCGGAAUCGCUAGUAAUCGCGGAUCAGCACGCCGCGGUGAAUACGUUCCCGGGUCUUGUACACACCGCCCGUCACACCAUGAGAGUUUGUGACACCCAAAGCCGGUGGGGUAACCUUCGGGAGCCAGCCGUCUAAGGUGGGACAGAUGAUUAGGGUGAAGUCGUAACAAGGUAGCCGUAGGAGAACCUGCGGCUGGAUCACCUCCUUUCUAAGGAA
RNAcentral lists this ribosomal RNA (1585 nucleotides) under Weissella confusa. RNAcentral describes it as "bacterial SSU rRNA". It matches the Rfam family "Bacterial small subunit ribosomal RNA". Lineage: Bacteria; Bacillati; Bacillota; Bacilli; Lactobacillales; Lactobacillaceae. The record is from RNAcentral.